RNAcentral lists this ribosomal RNA (1163 nucleotides) under Triticum aestivum (bread wheat). RNAcentral describes it as "partial small subunit ribosomal RNA". The record is from RNAcentral. Lineage: Eukaryota; Viridiplantae; Streptophyta; Magnoliopsida; Poales; Poaceae.
CUAUCAAAUCAUCUCUUUGGGAACCCAUACAGCACAGCAGACACUUUUCUUAGCUUUCCAAUGGCGGCAGCCAUCAUGUCCCUCUCCUCCUCGACCUUUGCCGGCAAGGCGGUGAAGAAUGUACCAUCUUUGGCUCUCUUUGGAGAGGCCCGAGUCACAAUGCGCAAGACUGCAGCGAAGGUGAAGCAGGUUUCCUUUGGCAGCCCAUGGUACGGUGCCGACCGUGUGCUCUACCUCGGCCCACUCUCUGGUGAGCCCCCGAGCUACCUCACUGGUGAGUUCCCAGGCGACUAUGGGUGGGACACUGCCGGACUUUCAGCUGACCCCGAGACCUUCGCCAAGAACCGGGAGCUGGAGGUGAUCCAUUGCCGCUGGGCCAUGCUCGGGGCACUUGGUUGUGUCUUCCCUGAGUUGCUCGCCCACAACGGCGUCAACUUCGGUGAGGCUGUUUGGUUCAAGGCCGGCUCUCAAAUCUUUAGUGAGGGUGGUCUUGAUUACCUCGGCAACCCCAGCCUCGUCCACGCACAAAGCAUCCUUGCUAUUUGGGCAUGCCAGGUUGUGCUCAUGGGUGCCGUCGAGGGGUACCGCGUUGCCGGUGGCCCACUGAGUGAGAUCGUCGACCCACUCUACCCAGGCGGCAGCUUCGACCCUCUUGGGUUGGCUGACGACCCUGAGGCAUUCGCCGAGCUCAAGGUGAAGGAGAUCAAGAACGGUCGCCUUGCCAUGUUCUCAAUGUUCGGCUUCUUUGUCCAAGCUAUCGUCACGGGCAAGGGCCCACUCGAGAACCUCGCUGACCACAUCGCCGACCCCGUCAACAACAAUGCAUGGGCAUUUGCCACCAACUUUGUCCCCGGCAAGUAAGGUGUCUUGAGACUGUGCUCGCCAUGAGGCGCGUUGUCCUGUGGCCUGAGUUGUACUAUCAUAAUGUAAAGUACGAGAAUUUUGUGCAAAAGAAUGGUUCGAUUUGUCCACUUCCAUGGCAUGCCUUGCAUCGGUCUGACCAUUUUGUUGUGAUCAUGGUUCACGAGAACAGAUAAAUACUUCUGUGUGUGCUUGCUUAACUAUUACCAUAUUGGUGGAAGACACAUUUCAACUGAUUCCCCUAUUUAAAAGAGUGGCAACAUGUAAACCAGGCUCUGGUGAUUCAUCCUGAGCUUUGCUCC